This 253-nucleotide ribosomal RNA is filed under the name uncultured bacterium. Its description in RNAcentral is "partial 16S ribosomal RNA". It matches the Rfam family "Bacterial small subunit ribosomal RNA", at positions 524 to 776 of the family's 1533-position model. The record is from RNAcentral.
GACGAACCGUGCGAACGUUGUUCGGAUUCACUGGGCUUAAAGGGCGCGUAGGCGGCCGCUCAAGUCGGGGGUGAAAUCUUUCAGCUUAACUGGAAAAUAGCCUCCGAUACUGGGCGGCUCGAGGGAGAUAGGGGUGCGCGGAACUUCCGGUGGAGCGGUGAAAUGCGUAGAUAUCGGAAGGAACGCCGGUGGCGAAAGCGGCGCACUGGAUCUCCACUGACGCUGAGGCGCGAAAGCCAGGGGAGCAAACGGG